This 253-nucleotide ribosomal RNA is filed under the name uncultured bacterium. RNAcentral describes it as "partial 16S ribosomal RNA". It matches the Rfam family "Bacterial small subunit ribosomal RNA", at positions 524 to 776 of the family's 1533-position model. The record is from RNAcentral.
UACGUAGGGUGCAAGCGUUGUCCGGAAUUAUUGGGCGUAAAGAGCUCGUAGGCGGUCUGUCACGUCGGCUGUGAAAUCCCGAGGCUCAACCUCGGGUCUGCAGUCGAUACGAGCAAACUAGAGUGUUGCAGGGGAGACUGGAAUUCCUGGUGUAGCGGUGAAAUGCGCAGAUAUCAGGAAGAACACCCGUGGCGAAGGCGGCUCUCUGGGACGGUACUGACGCUGAGACGCGAAAGCGUGGGGAGCGAACAGG